AAGGAAUAUUGGACAAUGGAGGCAACUCUGAUCCAGCCAUGCCGCGUGAAGGAAUAAGGCCCUAUGGGUUGUAAACUUCUUUUAGACGGGACAAAACCCCUUUACGUGUAAAGGGUUGAUGGUACUGUCAGAAUAAGCAUCGGCUAACUUCGUGCCAGCAGCCGCGGUAAUACGAAGGAUGCAAGCGUUAUCCGGAAUUAUUGGGUUUAAAGGGUGCGUAGGCGGACUAAUAAGUCAGUGGUGAAAGCCUGCAGCUUAACUGCAGAAUUGCCAUUGAUACUGUUAGUCUUGAGUACAGUUGAGGUAGGCGGAAUGUGUCAUGUAGCGGUGAAAUGCUUAGAUAUGACACAGAACACCGAUUGCGAAGGCAGCUUGCUAAGCUGUAACUGACGCUGAGGCACAAAAGCGUGGGGAGCAAACA
This 421-nucleotide ribosomal RNA is filed under the name uncultured bacterium. RNAcentral describes it as "bacterial SSU rRNA". It matches the Rfam family "Bacterial small subunit ribosomal RNA", at positions 356 to 774 of the family's 1533-position model. The record is from RNAcentral.